RNAcentral lists this long non-coding RNA (5134 nucleotides) under Gallus gallus (chicken). Lineage: Eukaryota; Metazoa; Chordata; Aves; Galliformes; Phasianidae. The record is from RNAcentral.
GGGGCUGAGCUGUGCAUCUGUGGGGCUGAGCUGAGCCUAUGGGGCUGAACUGUGCAUCUGUGGGACUGAGCUGUGAGCUUAUGGGGCUGAGCUGAGCCUCUGUGGGGAUGAGCGGAGCCUAUGGGGCUGAGCUGUGAGCCUAUGGGGCUGAACUGUGCAUCUCUGGGGCUGAGCUGUGCAUCUAUGGGGCUGAGCUGAGCCUAUGGGGCUGAACUGUGAGCCUGUAGGGCUGAACUGUGCAUCUAUGGGGCUAAGCUGAGCCUAUGGGGCUGAACUGUGCAUCUAUGGAGCUGAGCUGUGAGCCUAUAGGGCUGAGCUGUGCGUCUGCGGGGCUGAGCUGUGAGCCUAUGGGGCUGAGCUGAGCCUACAGGGCUGAACUGUGCAUCUAUGGGGCUAAGCUGAGCCUAUGGGGCUGAGCUGUGAGCCUAUGGGGCUGAACUGUGCAUCUAUGGGGCUGAGCUGAACCUACGGGGCUGAACUGUGCAUCUGUGGGGCUGAACUGUGAGCCUAUGGGGCUGAGCUGAGCCUAUGGGGCUCAGCUGUGAGCCUAUAGGGAUGAACUGUGCAUCUCUGGGGUUGAACUGUGCAUCUAUUGGGCUGAGCUGAGCCUAUGGGGCUGAACUGUGAGCCUGUAGGGCUGAACUGUGCAUCUAUGGAGCUGAGCUGCGAGCCUAUAGGGCUGAGCUGUGCAUCUGUGGGGCUGAGCUGUGCGUCUGUGGGGCUGAGCUGUGAGCCUAUGUGAUUGAAUCUAUGGGGUCUAUGAGCUGUGCUGUGAGCCCAUGGGGCCAUGAACAGUCUAUGGGGCUGUGCUGGGCUGCGAGAUUAUGGGGCUGUGCACUGUGAGUCUAUGGGGCUGUGCUGCACGCUUAUGGGGCCGAAUGCUGUGAGCCUGUGGGGCUGCGCUGUGAGCCCAUAGGGCUGUGCGCUGUGAGUCUAUGGGGCUGUGCUGUGAGUCUAUAGGGCCACGCACUAUGAACUUUUGGGGCUGUGCUGUGAGCCCGUAGGGCCGUGCACUGUGAGUUUAUAGGGCUGUGCACUGUGAGUCUAUAGGGCUGUGCUGUGAGCCUGUGGGGCCAUGUGCUGCGAAUCUAUAGGGCUAUAGAGUGAGCCUAUGGGGUGUGCUCUGAGCCCAUGGGGCCGUGCACUGUAAGUCUAUAGGGCCGUGCACUGUGAGCCUAUAGGGCCAUGCACUGUGAGUCUAUAGGGCUGUGCUGUGAGCCUGUGGGGCCAUGUGCUAUGAACCUAUAGGGCUAUAGAGUGAGCCUAUGGGGUGUGCUCUGAGCCCAUGGGGCCGUGCACUGUGAGCCUAUAGGGCUAUGGGGCAAUGCUGUGAGCGAGGUGUGGGGCAGAAUAGGACUGCGGGAUCCCUGGAAGGAUUUUGCUGCCACGUGGCCUCCGUGCUGCCCUGGAUCCUCAGCUGCCGGCAGCUGCCAGCCCGGACCUAUUGGCCACCACAGCUGCCGUUCCCAAACCCCGUUUGACUUUCUGGCCCCAUAGAGCCGUCCCUGGGAAUACUCACAACAGCGCCGGGGGGGCCGGGAGCGCCUCUCUCUCCGGGUUUGCCGGGCUCACCCUGCGAGGAAGAGAGUGGGGUGAGGUGUGCGUCAAAACCACAGCGCCCCCAUACAUGGAUGGACCCCCCCAUACACAUAUAGGGACACCGCCCCUGAGCCCCCCCCACACACACACCGUGGGGCUCUGUGAGCCUGUGUGGGGCCACGUGCUGCCAACCUAUAGGGCUCCGCGAGAGCCUCGCGCCACACAUCUGACAUGAAGCCCCCCACGCAGCCCCCCCCUAUAGGAGGGGGGGGGGAGCAAAGGGGCCGUCGGUGAACCGCGUGGUUAUGGGGGGGGGGGGAGGAGGGGGGGUUAAGUAACCGCGGGGUUACGUACCGGGGGUCCGGUUUUGCCGUCGGGACCGGGGCUGCCGGGGCUUCCAGUCAGACCCUGGGAGGAGCGGUAGGGCCGGGUUAAGGCGCGGGGCGCGGGGUGGGCUUUGGGGCCGGACGUGGGCAGGGCCGGGAGUCGGCUGUGCCCGUCUGGCCGCGCUCACCUUGGCACCGGGGAGGCCGGGUUCACCGGGACGGCCGGCUUCACCGGGAGAUCCUUUGGGGCCGACGGCGCCGGGGGAACCGCGCUCUCCGGGGGGGCCCUUGGGACCGGCGAUGCCGUCGGCACCGGGGAAACCGCGGCUGCCGGGGGCGCCCCGUUCGCCCGCAGGACCGGGCAGCCCAGCAGGGCCGGGCUCUCCACGCGCUCCUCUCUUGCCUUCCUCGCCGGCGGGGCCGGGGGGGCCUUGAACGCCAGCGGGACCGGGUUCGCCUUUGGCACCGGUGUCACCUUUGUUGCCCGGAGCACCGGGUUCACCGCUGUUCCCUUUGGGUCCGGGGGCACCGCUGGGACCUUGGGGUCCGGAGGGACCGCGAGCACCAGGGAAGCCGGGGGCACCGGCGAUGCCGGGAGCGCCCGUAGCACCUUUGGCACCGGGCUGACCGUCGGCACCGGGGUUACCGGCGGGACCGGCAGCGCCAGCUGGGCCGGGGGGACCGGGUUCGCCACGGGCACCUUGGGGACCUUCGCUACCGCGGGCACCUUGGGGACCCGUUUCGCCCUGGGGAGGAAGAGGAGGGACGGAGGGUCACGGCCGGGCCGCCCGCAGCCGCAGCGCUCCCCCUUUCCAGCGGCGCGGCCGUUGGCGGUGUCAGCCCUGCGCCACCGACGGGCACCGCGGCCGCCGCGGCGCUUUGGGGCCACGGGGGAGAAAAGCCCCCAUCCCACCGCCCCCCGAACCCCCAGCCGGGCGGUGGGGCCGCGGCCGGGGGGCGGAGGUCCUACCUUAGCGCCAGCGGCGCCGGGGAAGCCGGGGGGACCCGCGGGACCGGUCGGGCCGGGAGGACCGGCAGCACCGGGAGCACCGUCGUUACCGCGAGCGCCAGCGGGACCGGAUGGACCGGGGCGGCCUCUCUCGCCGGGAAGACCGCGGGGACCCAUCUGUCCGGGAGCGCCGUUCUCUCCAGGGCUGCCAGGCUCACCCUACGACGACAAAUAAUCAUAACAACAAGAUGCAAAAAAUGGCUUUUCUGCCCCAAAAAGGGAGCAGAAGGACCCCGCAGUGGGGGUUUGGGGGGGGGCCGCCCCUGCAGCACUGCUCACCUUGGGACCAGCAGGGCCGGGCUCACCCUUGGCACCAUCCAAACCACUGAAGCCCUGGGGGGCAGAGGAGGGGGGUCAGCAGCCGUAGGCCGGGUGUUGGGGUACCGUGGGGGUGUCCCCGACUUGGGGGCGCUCCCAGCUCACCCCACAUCUCGUGGGUGCAUUGGGGGGGGGAUGUGGCACUCACUCUGUGUCCCUUCAUGCCCGGCAGACCGGCAGUUCCGGGGAGCCCACGUGCGCCCUACAAGGAAAGGCCUUGUGGUGACACAGAGCCACGAGGGGGGGUCGGGGGGUCCCACACCCCAUCCUCUGUGUGCUGUGCAUGCGGUGGGUCCCCCCGCCGUGGGGAAAGCCUCACCUGGGGGCCGGGGGGGCCGCGUUCGCCAGGACGGCCGGGUUUGCCAGCUUCACCCUAUGGAGAAGGACCCGGUUGGUGGCACAGCCCCACAGCAUUGAGCCCCCGGGGGGGGGCAGUGCCAACAGGCAGGGAGGGGGGGGUCCGACCCUCUGCCACUUACAUCAUCGCCGUUCUUGCCAGGGGGGCCAGCGGGGCCGCGGGGGCCCAUGGGUCCCUACGAGAUAGGAAAGGGCUGUGGGGGGCUGUGGGGGUGCGGAGCUCCUCGCUGCCCCACUGCCCCCUCCCAGCACUGCUGGGGUUGGGGGUACCGCUGCAGUCCCGGCACUUACGGAGGCUCCGGGCUCGCCGGGUUCACCAGGGGGGCCUUGGAAACCUUGAGGGCCCUAUGGUUCAACGGGGGAAAAAAGGGUUAGAAAAGGAGAAAGAUGGGUGUGAAGACCCCAAUGAUGAGUUCAGACCCACCCCCCCACCCCAUAUGGGUUCCCAUCAUUGUGGGCUUCCUUACACAUAUGGGGAGGGGGUGCUGCGUCCCGCCCUCACCCAACCUGUGCCCACCCCCACCACAAAGGGCACCCACACCAAAGGGUCCCUGGGGGGUCUCGGCCCCAAAACUGAGCUGAGGAGGAUGAGGAGAUACUCACAGGAGCACCAGGAGGGCCGGGGAGACCACGGGGUCCUGCAGGGCCCUGGGGGGGGGGACAAGGAGACAGAGCUGAGUGUGUGCCACCCCCUUCCCCAUCCUUGUCCCAUUGCUGCGUCAGCCCAUCCCCACCCCAUUCCCACCCCACCGAUGUCUGCACUGCCGCCCCAUUUCUGUCCCCAGCGCCACCCUACACCCACCCCAGCACCGUCUCCUUACUGUCCUGUUGAUGCCCCUCUUGCCCCCCCCAUCUCUCUCCCCAGCACCUAUUACAGUCCCCACUGUCUCUAUUUUACUGCUGCCUCACUGACAUCCCCACUGCUGCCCCUCUGAUGUCCCCAUCUCCAGCCCAUCCCUUUCCAUUGCCACCCCAUCCCUGUCCCAUUGCUGCCCCCCUGCUGUCCCUAUUGCUGCCCAUUACCCAUCCCCAUCACCACUCCAUCCUUGUCCCAUUGGUACCCACCCUCAUCUCUGUCCCCAUCACCACCCCUUCUUGUCCCCAUUGCCACCCUAUCCUUGUCUGCAAUCCUACCCUACUGAUGUCCCCAUUGCUACCCAACCCCUUUCCCCAUCACCAUCCCAUUGCUGUCCCCAUCACUACCCCAUGCUGUCCCCAUUGCCGUCCCAUCCCUGCCCCCAUUCCCACUUUAUUGAUGCCCCCAUUGCCACCCAAUCCCUUUCCCUAUCACCACCCCAUGGCUGUCCCCAUUGCCACCCUAUCCCAGUCGUGAUUGGCACCCAUACCUACCCCUGUCCCCAUCACCACCCCAUGGCUGUCCCCAUUAUUGCCCCUUGUUGUCCCCAUUGCCACCCAGUCCCUCUCUCACUGCUACCCUACUGACAUCCCCGUCACCACCCAAUCCCUGUCCCCAUCGCCACCCCUUGUUGACCCCACUGACACCCCAUCCCCGUCCCCACUGACACCCCAUCCCUUUUCCCCUUGCCACUCCACCUGUCCCCAUUGCCACCCCAUCCCUGUUCCC